CAACAGCGAAAGGAGGUGAUCCGAUGUCUCAUGGUUCAGCUAAGAGGUCGGUUCUGCUCGUUCGGGAGAUGAAGGCCUAGGCCUUCGCGUCAGGUCUUCCGGGCUGGAGCUUCCGGCCGCUGACCAUGUUAGGAGGGUCGUCGGGCAUCCCGCCCGGCGGCCC
This 163-nucleotide small RNA is filed under the name Allosphingosinicella indica. Its description in RNAcentral is "Sphingomonas indica caulobacter sRNA CC2171". The record is from RNAcentral. Lineage: Bacteria; Pseudomonadati; Pseudomonadota; Alphaproteobacteria; Sphingomonadales; Sphingomicrobiaceae.